CCAAGGCUUUGAUCGGUAGCCGGACUGAGAGGUUGGCCGGCCACACUGGAACUGAGACACGGUCCAGACUCCUACGGGAGGCAGCAGUGGGGAAUCUUGCACAAUGGACGAAAGUCUGGUGCAGCAACGCCGCGUGGGGGAUGAAGCUUCUCGGAGUGUAAACCCCUUUCGACCCGGAAGAAUGCCCGCAAGGGUUUGACGGUACGGGUAUAAGAAGCCCCGGCUAACUACGUGCCAGCAGCCGCGGUAAUACGUAGGGGGCCAGCGUUGCUCGGAAUUACUGGGCGUAAAGGGUCUGUAGGCGGUGCGGCAAGUCGAUAGUGAAAUCCCUAGGCUUAACCUAGGGGCUGCUAGCGAAACUGCCGUGCUAGAGUGUGAGAGAGGCGAGUGGAAUUACGGGUGUAGCGGUGAAAUGCGUAGAUAUCCGUAGGAACAUCCGAGGCGAAAGCGGUUCGCUGGAUCACAACUGACGCUGAGGGACGAAAGCUAGGGGAGCAAACAGGAUUAGAUACCCUGGUAGUCCUAGCCCUAAACCAUCAGGACUUGGGGUUUGCCCUGUACGGGGCAAGUCCCGUAGCUAACGCGUUAAGUCCUGCGCCUGGGGAGUACGGUCGCAAGGCUGAAACUCAAAGGAAUGACGAAGCG
RNAcentral lists this ribosomal RNA (645 nucleotides) under uncultured bacterium. Its description in RNAcentral is "bacterial SSU rRNA". It matches the Rfam family "Bacterial small subunit ribosomal RNA", at positions 268 to 920 of the family's 1533-position model. The record is from RNAcentral.